This 276-nucleotide ribosomal RNA is filed under the name uncultured Clostridia bacterium. RNAcentral describes it as "partial 16S ribosomal RNA". It matches the Rfam family "Bacterial small subunit ribosomal RNA", at positions 59 to 339 of the family's 1533-position model. Lineage: Bacteria; Bacillati; Bacillota; Clostridia. The record is from RNAcentral.
AAGUUCUUCGGAAUGGAAAUUGAUAUUCUAGCGGCGGACAGGUGAGUAACGCGUGAGCAAUCUGUCCCAGACAGGGGGAUAACAGAUGGAAACAUCUGCUAAUACCGCAUAAGACCACGAGGAGACAUCUUCUUGAGGUAAAAGGAGUAAUCCGGUUUGGGGUGAGCUCGCGUCCGAUUAGCUAGUUGGCGAGGUAACGGCCCACCAAGGCGACGAUCGGUAGCCGACCUGAGAGGGUGAUCGGCCACAUUGGGACUGAGACACGGCCCAAACUCC